UUGCCUAGAGGGAGAAGCUGUACAGGCUAAUGAUUCGUACGUAUCAAGUCGACAUAAGCGUAUGGCUUUUCCCCUAGGAGA
Molecule: microRNA precursor, 81 nt
Filed under: Strigamia maritima
Lineage: Eukaryota; Metazoa; Arthropoda; Chilopoda; Geophilomorpha; Linotaeniidae
Description: mir-965 microRNA precursor family
Rfam family: mir-965 microRNA precursor family
Source: Rfam by way of RNAcentral